UGAAGCAAUGCUUAUCAGAGCUGUAUUUAAGCAGUUUGAGAUGACUGUGUACAGUGUUUCUCCACAUACAAUCACAGAACUGUUCUCAGCUGAACUCUGAAGCACAGGGUGUUCACUCCUGCAUCCCAUCUAGACUUGGUCUGGCACUUAAGGCUCAUUCCCAGUGUGCCCACAGUAGCUUUCUCCCUAGAGUUUAAUACUGAACGUGGAUGACUGGUCCUACCAGAGCUGGGUUGUGGAGGAAGAUUCCAGCUAGCUAAAAUUCCACUUGCAGAAGAAUGCAACAAAUUCUCUUCUACUGACUAAGUAUUAUUUUCAUAGAAUUUAGUUUUGGAGCACAUUCUGAAGUACAUAACUAAGUAGCAUAUUUAUUAUUCAUAAAAAUGGACUUACCAUUUCUGCAUUUAUAGAAAAUAGGCAAAGAUACUUAUGUACUGCAGUUGUUUAAGAAGAUUGUAAUUGUUACUGAUAUUUCUUUUAACUUCUCACCACCUCAAGUCUGUUGACUGUAUCCAGGACCACCAUCUGACAGGAUUCUACUUUUGUACAUGUUUACUUUGUUGGUGAUCUAGUCUUCUAUGCAUAUCUAUGUAUUUGUAUAUGUUUACUUUGUUGGUGAUCUAGUCUUCUAUGUAUAUCUAUGCCAUUAAUUUAAGCAACAAUUUUGUUCUCAAGAGCUGCUGAAUGUAGUCUGGCUUGAGAAAGGAUUACAUAUAAAGAUCAAGUGUGUUCUCUAUAUGCUGUCAAAUAGCAUUUGCCUCAUCCCAAAUUCUGUUAUUUACUUCCAGAACUGGAAGAGGGUAGAUUUAGACUACAUAUUAGGAAGAAAUUCUUUACUGUGAGGGUGAUGAGACACUGGAACAGGUUUCCCAGAGAAGCCGUUGAUGCUGCACCCUGGAAGCAUUCAAGGCCAGGUUGGAUGGGGCUUUGAGCAACCUGGUCUAGUGGGAGGUGAUCCUGCCUAUAGGAGGGGGGUUGGAACUACAUGAUCUUAAAGGUCUCUUCCAACCUAAACUAUUCUAUGAUUCUAUGAUUCUUUGAUUUUGUUGAUGAGAUAUAGACCAUAUUCUUGAAAAUUUAUUUUAAAUUUGUGAUUCUGUAAUUAUGUAAUUUGUCUCCAUUUGUUAAGUUUCCUCACAGACACACUAUGUCCUGUAGAAAUAAUAAUCUGUAAAUAGAGGUUGCCACAUCAAGUACAGAAAAUGUCAUAAUUGCAUGGAUUACUUCACUGUUGAUGUGAAACAAUAUUUUUAAAGUAGGCUUUUAAUACUUUUCUUUUUCUGAUAAAAAGAAAAAGAAGUAUAGAAGAAAACCAGACAUAUCAGGAAAACUGAUUCAAUGGAAGCCCUAGAGUAUCUGUCUGAAGACAGGCAUGGAAUUAGAAUCAUGGAAAGGUCCUCAUGCCUUUAACAGCCAAUUGAGCAAGACAACAAUCUAUCAUGAACCUGCAUCUCUGGUAUAACUUUUGAUGAAAACAUUGCUGUUUAAGCUGUUUAUCUUUUAUUUUGGGGGAAAUUAAUCUAUUUUCAUUUUUAUUCAGAAAAAAACCUACACAUUUGGAUUUACUCCUGUAGCAGUACAUGCAAAAUGCAAUCCAGAUACUUACUGUUACUGUCUUGAUAAUACAGAAUCCCAAGCUUGAUUUUUUAUCUGUUCAGAGGUGGGACCAUCCAAAAUAUAUAGCCAUCCAAAACAUACAUUUCUGAGGAUUAUUCUAGCCCUGGUAGUAAGAGCCAGGGUGAAAACUUUGCCAACAUAACUCACCACAGUCAGAACCACAAUCUACUCUUUUUUAGCAGUGUAGGGGAAGAGAGAUAUCUCUGCUUCUUGUUAUAAAUUAACCUUUAUCAUACUUUAAUUUUCCUGGCAUGCCUGCCUCCAACAUAACACACAAGAUGGAUAGUAAAGAGUGUGCUUUGCAGCCCUAGCAUGAAAGUAAAGAGCUCUUGGUAUUUAUUACCUCUUGCACUGCAGUAGCCGGGAAAAGACAACAUCUGCUUCUAAGCUCUCAUUAACUGCAUUUUCACUUGUGCUCUGUAUUUUUGUAUAUAGAGAAAUGAUAGGUGGCCUGUAAUUGCAACCUGCUCAGAGCAAGUAAGUCAAAUGGUAAGGUCAAAACCUUCAUUUUUUCUGUUUCUGCAGACAUCCUCAUAAUAAACAGCAGAGAGCAUUCUCAAUGCUUUGUCAGUUUUCUUGUUGCCUGUCAUUCAGGAGCCCACCGACUGCUGCAGCAGUGCAGUCUCAGAAGCUGAGGCAUACUCAUAGGAAAAAAGCAGCAAACUAAAGCACUGCACAACUCAUUUGUUACUUGCUGCUUGCUAGAGGAAUACAAUGAUGACUGAUGUAAAAAGCCCUGAUAUUCUGCACAUUUCUUAUUUAUUCUUUUAUGUAAACACAGGUGUCCUCUCCUGGUGAUACCAGCAUUCAAAGGGUGAGAACAAACACAAGACAAAUGAAAUCCAAAUAGUUGCUGUCUGUGGUGGUGUACCUUUAACCCUUACUCAGUCUAGCUUUUUAAUCACUCACAGUGGCAGAGUAUUAAAUACAAGUGCUUACUGAAGUUAAAAAAAAACAAGUGUUGCACUCUUGAUUUUUCAAACUCAGACAAGGGAUCCAAUUGCUGUCAGCACACAGUAUCUCUGUAACAAUAGAAAAGAAAGUGAUGAACAAUAUAGGAACAGGAUGAAAGUGGCUUAGAAAACAAGGAGUCUUGAUCUAAAAUAGCCUCAUGACAUUAGAGCUAUUUUUCCUGGUAUUUGUUUUUCCCAGAUAAGGCCUAGGUGCAUUUCAGGAAUCCAGGGUUGAACAAGUGAUGCGUUUUAUAAGGGCAGUUCAUCUGAUCUUGAUUCCAUGUUACAUUCACAGCACCGUUUCAGGAAGCCAUAGCAAAAGGAGACUGAGGAAGCUUCAGGUUUCCAUUCUGCCUUCUGUUACCAUUUCUCAUUCACCAUUUUGGCUUUGUAGACUUGAUUGUUUCCUCUCUUCAUCACUCUUCCCAUCAUAAAUCUGUAGCAGGAGGCUCUCUAGAGGUAGAAAAGACGUCUUUGACUACAAUGAUGGUGACAUAAACUAGUUUGUUAAUGGAAACCUGUUGUCAGUUCUGAGCAAUAGCCUAUACUGAGUAUCAGAAGAGGGUGCCACCUGAAAGAAGAAAAUACUCAGUUUAUUGAAAAAUGGCUGUUUUCUCUGACUACCUUCAGUACAUUAUUGUUCUUUCAUAUGCCUGUUUUGCAGUGAUCAUACGUAAGAUAUUGCUUAUCAACUGUCUCUUCUGCACAGUUUGCAAUGUUUAAUAUAAUAAGCUUUUGCCUAGCGAAAUUGAUCCAUGGUUGAGUAUGCACUUUACUGCUAAACACUUAUUUACAAUAAAACUCAGGGGAAAAAUAGUGCAAAACAAACAAACAAACAAAAACCUCAAACGUGACAGGCAAACAAAAUGAUGAAGACAGACACAUAUUAAAUUGCACGGUGUCAUUCUAUUUCACGUUAUACCUUUUUUCUACUGUUGAGGAAGAAUGAAAUUUUAGGUAAGAGUCCUAUGAAGCUCUACUUAUUAGAAUUUCCUAAUUCUCAAAUUACAGGAAAGUACUCAAAGUGUUUUAUUGUGACCUCCUCAGACUUUAGAAUAAAAGAUUGCUUAAAUCUGUUAUUUCUCUUUCUGUAAGGCAAGUGUGCUUCCAGUUGGAACAAGAGAUGGAACAGAAGAGCAGUGUCUGAGGCAGUCAGCCCAAAUAAAAAGAUGAACUGAACUAUGGAAAAAUUCCACACCACAACCUUAGUCCAGCCACCUAGGUAUACAAAUCUGAAUAAGAAGUGUGACUCCAGCUGCCCUGAGCUUUGCUGCUUUGAUUUCUUCAUCACUGAAUCUGACCCUGAGCCUGAAUUACUUCAACAAGAGUCCCAAAGGGAACAUUCAUACGGGAUUGAUCUUGUCAUUUCAGUCUUCUUGCUCUUUAUUGAAAGAAAGGAUAAAAAACCCCUUGCAUCCACACUCUUGCAAGAGAACAUCUUUCUGAAAAGGACCACAGAACACUGGCAACUGCUGAGAGAAAGCAUUAGUAGAAAGAAACAGAGUGAUUGUAAGAGGAACAGAGAAAAUAAUCUACUUACUAAUGUACACAGGAUGAACUACGGAAAGUUCAUGCAAGGAAGAAAAAAGUAAAAAACAAACAUGAAGAGCUAUACUUGCUUGUUUUUUGGUGAGAAAAAGGACAAAUGGAGAGGUGGUCUGUAAAAACAUAAUAAAUAGCAACUGCAGUUUCCCCAGUGUUUUUUUAUUUUGUCUGGAAUUACUUACAUGAGAUGAUCAUCAAUGUUAUUUGUUGAGGAAGCAUCUUCCAGUGUCCUGGUGGAUGAAAAGAUGAACAUGAGCCAGCAUUAUGAUCUUGCCGCCCUGAAGGUCGACUGUAUCCUUGUCUGCAUCAGAAGAGGGGUGGCCAGCAGGGAAACAAAGGUGAUUGUCCUCUUCUACUCUGCCUUUGUGAUACCCCCAUGUGGAUUACUUCAUUGCUGCCUUUGAGUAUUUGAAGAGAACUUACAAAGAGGAGAGAGACUGACUUCUUACGUGGUCUGAUAAUGUUGGGGGAGCUUAUCAAUGUUUAUAAAUGUAUAAAGGGUGGGUGUCAAAUAGAUGGAGUCAGGCUUUUUCCAGUGGUUCCCAGCAACAAGACAAGGGGCAAUAGGCACAAGCUAGAACAUAGGAAGUUCCAUACAAAUGUGUGGAAAAGCUUCAUUACAUUGUGGGUGUCAGAGCACUGAAACGUUGCCCACAGAGGCUGUGAAGUCUCCUUCUCCAAAGUUAUUCAUCUGGACACUUUCCUGUGCAACCUGAUGUAGGGAACUGCUUAAGGUGGGGGCUGGAAUGGAUGAGUUCCAACAGGUCCCUUGAGCCCCUACAAUUCUGUGAUUCUGCAAUUCUGUGACUUUCAACCUUUCAUCCAUUCAACACAUUGGAUCCUGAAGGUUUUGUUUAUAAUUAUUUUUUUUUCAUUAGAAGACUUGUAAGUAUUUUGAAUGUUAACAAGUAUAGAUGGUCUUAUGCAUGGCAAAACUUAAUACUUUAGCCCUUAUCAUAAAAUUAGGAAAUAUUUGCUGUUCUGAUUUCUGUUUUCCUUAUGAAUCACCUUAUAUUCUCUACUUGCAAUAACUCAGUAAGUAAGACAUUUGAUUCUGCUGUUAACAAUAGGGCUUAAAGGGUGCAUCUCUGCUUUUUUAACUGGUACAAGAUACAGGGCUUGAUACAACAUUCAUUAUAUAGUUUUUCUGAUUUCAGUAGAUUUUGGAGCCUGCCUUAAGUGAGCUUUACAUUUCUGAUUCACUCAGGAAAUUAGCCCCCAAACCUCAUGACAAGACAUGACCUCAUCCUUAUAAAGAAGAUUGGACGAUUUGUUCCAGUAAUGGGUAUAAUGGCAAAAAGCCAAGGAGGAUGGGGAUGUGUGUAAAAAUCUUGUCUGUUAUUUCUGUCAACCCAGGAAUAAUGUAAGCUUUGUACAACAUACAAGGCAUCACUAAGAACCUUUGCGUAAGUUGUUAAAGAUGAACUCUGCCCCCUGCAAUACUCAGACAAUUCUUACUGAGAUCAGUAAGUCUGGUCCAUGUGUGUCUGAAUUUAAAAUUUCUUCUAGACAAUAUUGUUUUGUAAUGAUUUCUUUCCAGUGAAUGCUCUCUCAAAUUAUUUCCCUUUCAGCUGAUUGAAUGAGAUGAUUUUUCCUUAGUUCUUCCUUAUUGUUACUUCAGUUUCUCAAGUGAAGUUUCAGAUAGUGAGCUCUUUCAGACCCUUCCACUUUGGGUCAAGUGCUGUCUUUUACUAUUCAUUUCGUGCUCAGAGGUGUAUUCUUAGACCCACAGUGUUAAGUAUUCUUAAUGUUAAAAAAAAGGCAAAUCGUUAUAACAUGAGGGUUUUGUCAAUAAAAUACAUCUGUGGGUAAGAACCGGGUACCUUCUGAUUCAUUUAGAAGCCUUCACUCUACUUUGUUAUACUCAGCCUAAAGUCACAGACUUCCCAUUUACAGAUACUGAUCACCAAC
This is a long non-coding RNA of Gallus gallus (chicken), 6026 nucleotides long. Lineage: Eukaryota; Metazoa; Chordata; Aves; Galliformes; Phasianidae. The record is from Ensembl.